UUUUCGUAGGUGAACCUGCGGAAGGAUCAUUAGUGAAGCAUCGGAAACCCCCCUCUGUGAAAGGAGGGACCAAGGGUCCGAUAUCCACUUUUUUUCACACACUUGUGCACUCGUCUUUUUUAUACAACCCUGUUGCAUUUAUAAAGCAGUUCAUAAUGUAAACUUUGAUAAAGAAAGAAAAACUUUCAGCAAUGGAUCUCUUGGCUCUCGCAUCGAUGAAGAACGCAGC
RNAcentral lists this unclassified non-coding RNA (229 nucleotides) under uncultured fungus. RNAcentral describes it as "sequence contains ITS1, 5.8S rRNA gene". The stretch from base 181 to 229 matches the Rfam family "5.8S ribosomal RNA", at positions 1 to 49 of the family's 154-position model. The record is from RNAcentral. Lineage: Eukaryota; Fungi.